This 253-nucleotide ribosomal RNA is filed under the name uncultured prokaryote. RNAcentral describes it as "partial 16S ribosomal RNA". It matches the Rfam family "Bacterial small subunit ribosomal RNA", at positions 524 to 776 of the family's 1533-position model. The record is from RNAcentral.
GACGAACCGUGCAAACGUUGUUCGGAAUCACUGGGCUUAAAGGGCGCGUAGGCGGGCAAGCAAGUCCGGGGUGAAAUCUUUCGGCCCAACCGGAAAAGUGCCUUGGAUACUGCUUGUCUGGAGGGAGGUAGGGGCAGAGGGAAUUUCCGGUGGAGCGGUGAAAUGCGUAGAGAUCGGAAAGAACACCAACGGCGAAAGCACUCUGCUGGGCCGACACUGACACUGAGAGACGAAAGCUAGGGGAGCGAAUGGG